ACAUGAGGAUGAUCAGGCUGUGUUAAUCACCAUGGCUGAAUUUGCUGAUAUCACUGUCUUGGUGAGUUUCCACAUUGUUCCUCACUAGUCCAUGUGUACCCCACCCCCACAAAAAAGGCGUGCUGAGUAGAGGAGAAUGGCCUUCCUCAAUAAGGAGGCCCAGUUUUCCAUCAAGGUUAAAAGAGUUACUAUACUUUCCAUUAGUUUACACUAAACAAUCCAUCAAGGUCCAUUUAACUAUGGAUUUUCCUUACUCAUGUCUAAAAAUUGUGAGUUUUU
RNAcentral lists this small nuclear RNA (279 nucleotides) under Microtus ochrogaster (prairie vole). Its description in RNAcentral is "7SK RNA (ENSMOCG00000008941.1)". It matches the Rfam family "7SK RNA". Rfam says of the family: 7SK was discovered as an abundant small nuclear RNA in the mid-70s but a possible function has only recently been suggested. Two independent studies have found that 7SK RNA binds the CDK9/cyclin T complex (known as elongation factor P-TEFb). Lineage: Eukaryota; Metazoa; Chordata; Mammalia; Rodentia; Cricetidae. The record is from RNAcentral.